Molecule: ribosomal RNA, 441 nt
Filed under: uncultured bacterium
Lineage: Bacteria
Description: partial 16S ribosomal RNA
Rfam family: Bacterial small subunit ribosomal RNA
Source: RNAcentral
CCUACGGGAGGCAGCAGUGGGGAAUAUUGCACAAUGGGGGAAACCCUGAUGCAGCGACGCCGCGUGAGUGAAGAAGUAUUUCGGUAUGUAAAGCUCUAUCAGCAGGGAAGAAGAGAGACGGUACCUGAGUAAGAAGCCCCGGCUAACUACGUGCCAGCAGCCGCGGUAAUACGUAGGGGGCAAGCGUUAUCCGGAUUUACUGGGUGUAAAGGGAGCGUAGACGGCUGAACAAGUCUGGAGUGAAAUCCCGGGGCUCAACCCCGGAGCUGCUCUGGAAACUGUAUAGCUAGAGUACUGGAGAGGCAGGAGGAAUUCCUAGUGUAGCGGUGAAAUGCGUAGAUAUUAGGAGGAACACCAGUGGCGAAGGCAGCUUACUAAACUGUGACUGACAUUGAUGCUCGAAAGUGUGGGUAUCAAACAGGAUUAGAUACCCCAGUAGUC